AUAUUAUUAAGCGGAGGAAAAGAAACUAACAAGGAUUCCCCUAGUAACGGCGAGCGAAGCGGGAAGAGCUCAAAUUUAAAAUCUGGGAGGCUUGCCUCUCCGAAUUGUAGUUUAAAGAGGCGUUAUCUGGUCUUUGGUCGGUGCUCAAGUCCCUUGGAAUAGGGCGUCACAGAGGGUGAGAACCCCGUCUGGGCACUGGUCAAAGGCCUCUAUGAGGCGCUCUCUACGAGUCGGGUUGUUUGGGAAUGCAGCUCAAAAUGGGUGGUAAAUUUCAUCUAAGGCUAAAUACUGGCAAGAGACCGAUAGCGCACAAGUA
RNAcentral lists this ribosomal RNA (316 nucleotides) under uncultured eukaryote. Its description in RNAcentral is "partial large subunit ribosomal RNA". It matches the Rfam family "Eukaryotic large subunit ribosomal RNA", at positions 40 to 350 of the family's 3401-position model. The record is from RNAcentral.